UAGGGAAUCUUCGGCAAUGGACGAAAGUCUGACCGAGCAACGCCGCGUGAGUGAAGAAGGUUUUCGGAUCGUAAAGCUCUGUUGUAAGAGAAGAACGGGUGUGAGAGUGGAAAGUUCACACUGUGACGGUAUCUUACCAGAAAGGGACGGCUAACUACGUGCCAGCAGCCGCGGUAAUACGUAGGUCCCGAGCGUUGUCCGGAUUUAUUGGGCGUAAAGCGAGCGCAGGCGGUUAGAUAAGUCUGAAGUUAAAGGCUGUGGCUUAACCAUAGUACGCUUUGGAAACUGUUUAACUUGAGUGCAGAAGGGGAGAGUGGAAUUCCAUGUGUAGCGGUGAAAUGCGUAGAUAUAUGGAGGAACACCGGUGGCGAAAGCGGCUCUCUGGUCUGUAACUGACGCUGAGGCUCGAAAGCGUGGGGAGCGAACAGGAUUAGAUACCCUGGUAGUCCACGCCGUAAACGAUGAGUGCUAGGUGUUAGGCCCUUUCCGGGGCUUAGUGCCGCAGCUAACGCAUUAAGCACUCCGCCUGGGGAGUACGACCGCAAGGUU
Molecule: ribosomal RNA, 549 nt
Filed under: uncultured bacterium
Lineage: Bacteria
Description: bacterial SSU rRNA
Rfam family: Bacterial small subunit ribosomal RNA
Source: RNAcentral